CUUAAAAAAAAAAAAAAAGGCCAUUUUAAGUUCAGUGUGUUUAGACUCUCGGACUGCUCGAGGUGAGAUUUGUAAAGAAAGAAUGGGGAAACAUCAAUAAAGAGUUUGGUUUUUAUCCUGAAAGUGAUGGAAAGACUGAAGGACUUUUUAAGCAGGGAAAUGAGUAAAUCAGACACUUCUUAAUAACAUCUAAUUCCUAAUUAUAUGCUCGUUCAACCAUUUGAUCUUUAAUUUGGCUUCCUAUGUAGAUUCACCCACUAGGAAGAAGUUCUCUUAGUAAACAUAAACAAGGUAGGUUACCCUGCCAGGUAAAUGUUCUACUAAAAAAUAAUGAAUUGCCAAACUCUUCUGAAUUGGUUUGAGAUAGUGUCCAAAAUCUAAUAUAUUUUAAAUAUAGUGAACAAGCCCAGUUUUGGGAUGCUCCAGCCUGAGUUGCAGAUCUGAGACAAUAUUAUUGAGAUCAACGAAUUGUUUCUACUUCUCGAAGUCCUGCCUGAAAAGCUAGUGGGACUUCUAAAGACUUUCUCGAUCAUAACCUAAAGAUUACAUACCCAACAGCCUCUCAGGUCUAUUGAGAAUUCAGUAGUCAUGAUGAAAAUAAUUUCGUAAAAGAUGAUAAUGAUAAUUUAAAAAUCCUUAAUGCAACGUCCAGAAAUGAAGAUGAAGCUCUUCCAAGUAUAUUCGUGAUCAACCAACAUAAAAUUUGCCUCAACCUUUGGGAUAUUACUCCUGCGACAAGAACCAUAAAGAGUGGCUGUGCCAUCAUGCCUCUGUUUUCAAAAGGAGUGGACCAGACAGUGUGGGUGGAGAAGGAAAAAAAUUCAUAAGCACCUUUGGAUAAACUGCUCAAAGUCGUUGAGCUACUUACAAGGGCUCAGCAGAGGCUUCUGCAUGAACAAGAACAGUCGACAUGAGUGAGGUGUGAAACAUAAUGCAGAUAAUGCACAAGUUAUGCCCUUCAAGGCCAUGAAUAAUUGUGGCCAACCUUGGACAAGAAGUCGGUCAUCCCAAGAGUAGAAUUAAAAAAAAAAAAUGAAGUCAACUCCUGGGCUACACAGAGAAUACCUGUACACACACUCUCUUCUGAGCCUCUGUGACCGCGGGAAACCACGGGGGAGAUGAUGUGAACAGAGAGCCUCUCUACUAGCCUCUGGCAGUGGCAGGAGGAGAAUUCAUCUCUAGAAAAGGAGAAGCUUCUAUGAGACAUUGUGAAGACUGCUCCAGGACACACCAUCUCCAUUAAAAGGCACAGCCUCUAUGUGGGACAAGGACAGCAUGGAGCAGAAGAGAGGGAGCUGGUACAGAAGGGAGAGUACAGGCGAUGGGCAUUGGAGUUGUUUCCAUGUUUUGGCUCUCGUGGAUACAGCUACUAGGGGCAUUCUUAUGCAAGUCUUUUAGCGGACAUUUGUUUUUACUUCUCUUGGAUAAACACCUAGGAGUAGAAUUUCUGGGUUUCUUUUAUAAGGAAUUACCAAAUAGUUUUUCAAAAUGUUUGUACCAUUUUAAUGCCCAUCCACAACGUGUGAGAUUUCCAGUUAUUCUACAUCCUCAUGCGUACUUGGUGCUGUCAGUUUUUUAAAUUUUAGUUACCCUACAGGAUACAAUGGGAUCUGUUUGUGGUUUUAUUUUGCCUUUCUCUGAUGACUAAUAAUGUUGAACAUCUUCAUUUGCUUAAUGGUUUGUAAUCUUCUUCUGUGAAAUGCCUGUUCAAGUCUUGAGUGUUUAUAGGGUUGUCUUAUUGAUUUGUAAUUCUUUAUAUGUUCUGGAUACAAGACUUUUGUUAGUCUUUAGUUGGUUGCCUUUUCAUUUACUAAUGGCAUUUUAUAAUGAGCAAAAUUUCAAAAUUUAAAUUUUUUAUAAAGUUAAUCCAUUUACUUUUAUGUUUAGUGCUUUCUUGGUACUUUUUCUUAAAAAAUCUGCCUACUAAAGUUUGUAAAAAUAUUCUAUAUUUUCUUCUGGAAACUCUAUAGUUUCAGCUUUUACAUUUAGGUUGAAGAUUCAUCUUGAAUUUCAAUAUAUAGUGUGACAUAGGGACCAUAGUCCAAUUUUUUUAAACAUAUUUAUUCAGUUAUCCCCAGCAUCAUUUGUUGAGAAGAUAUUAUUUUCCCAUUGAAAAAGUACAUUUAUAAAAAUCUUUAGACCAUGUAAGUUUGGGUCGAUUUCUGGACUCUAUUCUGUUUCACUGAUCUGUCUAUGCCAAUACCACACUGCCUUGAUUACUGCUGUAUAUUGUCUCCUUAUAUUAAGUCUUGAAAUACAAUUGUGGAGUCCUCCAACAUUGUUCUUUACUUCCAAGAUUAUUUUGGCUAUUUUAGAUCUUUUGCAUAUUCAUUUAAAUUGUAGAACAAACCUGUCAAUUUUACAAUAAAGCCUUUUGGGAUUGUGACUGGGAAUGCAUAGGUUCUAUAGAUCAGUUUGGGGAGAAUUGGCAUUUUUAACCAUAUUGAGUCAUUUAAUUCAAUAAUAAAAUUUGUCUUUCUAUGUAUUUAGUUCUUUAACUUCUCUCAGCAAUGUUUUAUAGUUUUCAUUGUACGAGUCUUAUUCAUAGUUUGUUAAAUUUAUCCUUAAGUAUUUGAUAUACUUUGAUGCUAUUAUAUAACUUAAUGCUACUAUAAAUAAAAUUUCAAAUACUUCCAAUUUCUAAUUAUCCACAUAGUGCAUAGAAACACACAAUUGAUUUUUGUAUAUUGACCAUGUAUCCUACAAACUUAAUUUAUUUAUUAGUUCUAGUAGCUUUUGGUAAACUCGUUAGGAUUUUCUAUGUGCAUGAUUAUGUUAUAUAUGAAUAAAGACAGUUUUUUUUCUUUCA
Molecule: non-coding RNA, 2809 nt
Organism: Leptonychotes weddellii (Weddell seal)
Lineage: Eukaryota; Metazoa; Chordata; Mammalia; Carnivora; Phocidae
Source: RefSeq, a predicted model, not a curated record